Molecule: ribosomal RNA, 660 nt
Filed under: uncultured bacterium
Lineage: Bacteria
Description: bacterial SSU rRNA
Rfam family: Bacterial small subunit ribosomal RNA
Source: RNAcentral
UCGAUUAGUUUGAUCAUGGCUCAGGACGAACGCUGGCGGCGUGCUUAACACAUGCAAGUCACGGGGGCUCGCAAGAGCAACCGGCGAACGGGUGCGUAACACGUGAGCAAUCCGCCGAUUUCUGGGGGAUAGCCGGCCCAACGGCCGGGUAAUACCGCAUACGUUCUCGAGGGGGAGUCCCCUUGGGAAGAAACUUCCGGGGGAAAUCGAGGAGCUCGCGGCCUAUCAGCUAGUUGGCGGUGUAAUGGACCACCAAGGCUAUGACGGGUAGCUGGUCUGAGAGGAUGGCCAGCCACAUUGGGACUGAGAGACGGCCCAGACUCCUACGGGAGGCAGCAGUGGGGAAUCUUGCGCAAUGGCCGAAAGGCUGACGCAGCGACGCCGCGUGUGGGAUGAAGCAUUUCGGUGUGUAAACCACUGUUGCCCGGGACGAACAGCUUCAUUCGAGGAGCCUGACGGUACCGGGUGAGGAAGCACCGGCUAACUCCGUGCCAGCAGCUGCGGUAAUACGGAGGGUGCGAGCGUUGUCCGGAAUCACUGGGCGUAAAGGGCGCGUAGGUGGCCUGUGGAAGUCUGCGGUGAAAGCCCGGCGCUCAACGCCGGGUCGGCCGUGGAUACUCUCGGGCUUGAGCUUACUAGGGGCAGAUGGAAUUCCGGGUG